ACAUGCAAGUCGAGCGGCAGCGGAAAGUAGCUUGCUACUUUGCCGGCGAGCGGCGGACGGGUGAGUAAUGUCUGGGAAACUGCCUGAUGGAGGGGGAUAACUACUGGAAACGGUAGCUAAUACCGCAUGACCUCGAAAGAGCAAAGUGGGGGAUCUUCGGACCUCACGCCAUCGGAUGUGCCCAGAUGGGAUUAGCUAGUAGGUGAGGUAAUGGCUCACCUAGGCGACGAUCCCUAGCUGGUCUGAGAGGAUGACCAGCCACACUGGAACUGAGACACGGUCCAGACUCCUACGGGAGGCAGCAGUGGGGAAUAUUGCACAAUGGGCGCAAGCCUGAUGCAGCCAUGCCGCGUGUGUGAAGAAGGCCUUAGGGUUGUAAAGCACUUUCAGCGAGGAGGAAGGCAUCAUACUUAAUACGUGUGGUGAUUGACGUUACUCGCAGAAGAAGCACCGGCUAACUCCGUGCCAGCAGCCGCGGUAAUACGGAGGGUGCAAGCGUUAAUCGGAAUUACUGGGCGUAAAGCGCACGCAGGCGGUUUGUUAAGUCAGAUGUGAAAUCCCCGCGCUUAACGUGGGAACUGCAUUUGAAACUGGCAAGCUAGAGUCUUGUAGAGGGGGGUAGAAUUCCAGGUGUAGCGGUGAAAUGCGUAGAGAUCUGGAGGAAUACCGGUGGCGAAGGCGGCCCCCUGGACAAAGACUGACGCUCAGGU
RNAcentral lists this ribosomal RNA (710 nucleotides) under Rahnella sp. Its description in RNAcentral is "bacterial SSU rRNA". It matches the Rfam family "Bacterial small subunit ribosomal RNA", at positions 53 to 752 of the family's 1533-position model. The record is from RNAcentral. Lineage: Bacteria; Pseudomonadati; Pseudomonadota; Gammaproteobacteria; Enterobacterales; Yersiniaceae.